This 71-nucleotide transfer RNA is filed under the name Salvia splendens (bonfire salvia). It matches the Rfam family "tRNA". Rfam says of the family: Transfer RNA (tRNA) molecules are approximately 80 nucleotides in length. Their secondary structure includes four short double-helical elements and three loops (D, anti-codon, and T loops). Further hydrogen bonds mediate the characteristic L-shaped molecular structure. tRNAs have two regions of fundamental functional importance: the anti-codon, which is responsible for specific mRNA codon recognition, and the 3' end, to which the tRNAs corresponding amino acid is attached (by aminoacyl-tRNA synthetases). tRNAs cope with the degeneracy of the genetic code in two manners: having more than one tRNA (with a specific anti-codon) for a particular amino acid; and 'wobble' base-pairing, i.e. permitting non-standard base-pairing at the 3rd anti-codon position. Lineage: Eukaryota; Viridiplantae; Streptophyta; Magnoliopsida; Lamiales; Lamiaceae. The record is from Rfam by way of RNAcentral.
GUGCUUGUAGUCCAAUGGUUAGGUUUAUUGCCUUCCAAGCAUAGACCUGGGUUCAAACCCCGGUAAACGCA